AAUUAAUUGAAAUUAAAAUAUAAUGAAAUUUUCAUGAAUUAUAUUUAUAAUUUAUUAAAUUAUGAAAAUAAAAAGUGUGUGUGUGUAUUGUAGACUAUAGAUAAUUUCUUUUUCCUUUUAAGACACUUCAAUCGUAUUGGUUGUUUGAAUAUUAUAUCAAAAUUAGUACAAAAAUACUAAUAAUAACUCAAUGCAUAAAACUAAGAUGACAAAAUCUAUGAACGAUAAUUUUUUUUUUUUUAUGUAGAGAUAAUUUAUGCAUGAAGUUUUUUUUAUGCACACAUAUGCAAGAAUAUUUUUCUUUGUUUAAAAAAUUUUAGUCAACUACUUAUAAAUAUAUUAAUUGAGUUUUUUUUUAUAUAAUCAGAAGUUACUAUUAUAAUUAGAGCCAAAGUAAA
RNAcentral lists this unclassified non-coding RNA (398 nucleotides) under Hevea brasiliensis (rubber tree). The record is from RNAcentral. Lineage: Eukaryota; Viridiplantae; Streptophyta; Magnoliopsida; Malpighiales; Euphorbiaceae.